This 63-nucleotide transfer RNA is filed under the name Sminthurus viridis. RNAcentral's name for it is "tRNA-Arg". The record is from RNAcentral. Lineage: Eukaryota; Metazoa; Arthropoda; Collembola; Symphypleona; Sminthuridae.
UAAAAGUAAGCAAUUUGUAUUCAGUUUCGACCUGAAAGAAGAAAAGUUUAUUUUCACUUUUAG